CGUAACACGUAUGCAACCUACCUAUAACUGGGGGAUAGCCCGAAGAAAUUCGGAUUAAUACCCUAUAAUAUUUACUACUCGCAUGAGUUGGUAUCUUAAAACUCCGGUGGUUAUAGAUGGGCAUGCGGCCUAUUAGUUUGUUGGUGAGGUAACGGCUCACCAAGACUACGAUAGGUAGGGGUUCUGAGAGGAUGAUCCCCCACACUGGGACUGAGAUACGGCCCAGACUCC
This 231-nucleotide ribosomal RNA is filed under the name uncultured bacterium. Its description in RNAcentral is "partial 16S ribosomal RNA". It matches the Rfam family "Bacterial small subunit ribosomal RNA", at positions 109 to 339 of the family's 1533-position model. The record is from RNAcentral.